This 1018-nucleotide long non-coding RNA is filed under the name Monodelphis domestica (gray short-tailed opossum). Its description in RNAcentral is "lncRNA (ENSMODG00000037200.1)". The record is from RNAcentral. Lineage: Eukaryota; Metazoa; Chordata; Mammalia; Didelphimorphia; Didelphidae.
UGUGGUUGCUCAAGAAGCAAACUGCCUGAUUGGCUCUCUCAGGGCAGGAUGAGCCUCUUCUUCGUAUCUCAUUGACUGAUGACAGUGGCAACGAAGGCAAGUCACAGCCCUGACUUUGGAGACCAUUGAUAGAGAAGAAAGAGCCUCAGGGUAGCCAUCAGGAGACGUGGGUUUGAAUGCUGGCUCUGCAUUGUUCUAAGGUGCAUGACCUGGGCAAGUUUCUUCAUCUCUCGGAUUCUCAGGAUGCCAGCUCUCAAGUGGUGACUAUGGAAUGUCACUCAGAACAAACCAGCUAUCCCUCAUGCUAGACUGUAGGACCAGUAAAGAAAAGCAGGCUUUGAAUCUCCUGCAGGGUCAAGCAAUGGACCGUGAAAAUGGUCUGAGAUUCUCAUACCACUUGAGAGCUGAUUAUAUGGUCAUUACUCCCAGCUCUUCCCCAGCCUUUUUGGGAAGGUGGCAUUUUCUUGGCAAGGGAAAUUCACCCUCUACCCUCCAUUAUCCUUCUAAGAAAAGAUGGCUUGUGUUGCAGAGAUGGGAAGAAGUUCUCUCAGAGAGUCCUCCCAAUUGCAAAGAUGAAAAGGAAUAACAAAGAAAGAGAUUGAAGAGAAAAUAAUUCAGCUACCUCAAUAUAUCAAAGAAAAGUCUGACAUGACAUGCAAAGUUCCAUACCCUUAGAAACCCUACCUCCCUCACUCCUAACCUUGCUUCUGCAAAGGAUUAAGGGAAGAUUGAGAUAUCUCCUCAUACCUUUUGGGUUGACCUGGCUCUUAAUAAUUCUCUAAAAAACAUUUUUAUGAUUAUUUCCAUUUAAAUUAUUGUAAUAUCAAUAGUUUCUCUUGCUCUCCUUAUUUUGUAUCAGUUACUGUAAGUCUUUUCAUUCUUCUCUGUCUUCAUCACAUUUGUUGAUUUUUAUUGCACAGUAAGAUCUCAUUUGUUCAUAUACCACCAUAUAAUUAGCUAUUUCCCCAAUUCAUCAGAAUCUAUUUUGUUUCUAGUUAUUUGCUACCACAAAAAAGUG